Molecule: ribosomal RNA, 402 nt
Filed under: uncultured bacterium
Lineage: Bacteria
Description: bacterial SSU rRNA
Rfam family: Bacterial small subunit ribosomal RNA
Source: RNAcentral
UGGGGAAUCUUGCACAAUGGGGGCAACCCUGAUGCAGCGACGCCGCGUGAGCGAUGAAGCCCUUCGGGGCGUAAAGCUCUUUCGACCGGAACGAUAAUGACGGUACCGGGAGAAGAAGCUGCGGCUAACUACGUGCCAGCAGCCGCGGUAAUACGUAGGCAGCAAGCGUUGUUCGGAGUUACUGGGCGUAAAGAGUGCGUAGGCGGUUUUCUAAGUCCGGUGUGAAAUCUCCCGGCUUAACUGGGAGGGUGCGCCGAAGACUGGGAAGCUGGAGUGUGGGAAAGGCAGGCGGAAUUCCUGGUGUAGCGGUGAAAUGCGUAGAUAUCAGGAGGAACACCGGCGGUGUAGACGGCUUGCUAGACCAUAACUGACGCUGAGGCACGAAAGCGUGGGUAGCAAACA